RNAcentral lists this long non-coding RNA (452 nucleotides) under Rosa chinensis. RNAcentral's name for it is "sRNA RchiOBHm_Chr6g0278631". The record is from RNAcentral. Lineage: Eukaryota; Viridiplantae; Streptophyta; Magnoliopsida; Rosales; Rosaceae.
ACGCCAACUCAAUGCUUCCCAGUUCCCAAUGGCUGCCAUCGACCGCUGCCCAACACUAACGUCGUCUGCCCGCGACACAGCCACCGCCAACUGCCUCCCUGGAAUAGCAGACCAACCCAGAAACUGACCAGCCAAACCAGCGACGUCGGCGCCGUCUGCAUCAAGGUCGUCUCGAUCCACGCAGCCACCGGAGUUCUCCAACCCAGAAGCCAACUAGAAUCCACGCCACCACCCCUGGAUCCCACAAAAUUCUUGGAGCAAUUACACCGAACAAGACCGGCAUCCACAUCUCGGCAAGAAUAGCCAACACCGAAAUCAGAUGGAAGGAGAGAAAGGAAGGGGUUGCUUUUGCCUGAAAAAGUCGAACAUCUCGAAGGACAAGGAAGCCGCGAGGCCUCCUCGAACGAAGGCAAGCAAAAUUGCCAGCGAUGAUGGAGAGUAGGGAAGCGGCG